This 257-nucleotide ribosomal RNA is filed under the name uncultured bacterium. RNAcentral describes it as "partial small subunit ribosomal RNA". It matches the Rfam family "Bacterial small subunit ribosomal RNA", at positions 27 to 288 of the family's 1533-position model. The record is from RNAcentral.
GGGACGAACGCUGGCGGCGUGCUUAACACAUGCAAGUCGAGCGGAAAGGCCCUUCGGGGUACUCGAGCGGCGAACGGGUGGGUAACACGUGAGCAACCUGCCCCUGGCUCUGGGAUAGCCUCCGGAAACGGGGAUUAAUACCGGACAUGACCUCUGACCGCAUGGUUGGGGGUGGAAAGUUUUUCGGCCAGGGUGGGGCUCGCGGCCUAUCAGCUUGUUGGGGGGGUGACGGCCCACCAAGGCGACGACGGGUAGCC